RNAcentral lists this ribosomal RNA (497 nucleotides) under uncultured bacterium. RNAcentral's name for it is "partial 16S ribosomal RNA". It matches the Rfam family "Bacterial small subunit ribosomal RNA", at positions 28 to 507 of the family's 1533-position model. The record is from RNAcentral.
GAUGAACGCUGGCGGCGUGCCUAAUACAUGCAAGUCGAGCGAACAGACGAGGAGCUUGCUCCUCUGACGUUAGCGGCGGACGGGUGAGUAACACGUGGAUAACCUACCUAUAAGACUGGGAUAACUUCGGGAAACCGGAGCUAAUACCGGAUAAUAUAUUGAACCGCAUUGUUCAAUAGUGAAAGACGGUUUUGCUGUCACUUAUAGAUUGAUCCGCGCCGCAUUAGCUAGUUGGUAAGGUAACGGCUUACAAAGGCAACGAUGCGUAGCCGACCUGAGAGGGUGAUCGGCCACACUGGAAAGGAGACACGGUCCAGACUCCUACGGGAGGCAGCAGUAGGGAAUCUUCCGCAAAGGGCGAAAGCAUGACGGAGCAACGCCGCGUGAGUGAUGAAGGUCUUCGGAUCGUAAAACUCUGUUAUUAGGGAAGAACAAAUGUGUAAGUAACUAUGCACGUCUUGACGGUACCUAAUCAGAAAGCCACGGCUAACUACGUG